RNAcentral lists this ribosomal RNA (460 nucleotides) under uncultured Bacteroidota bacterium. RNAcentral's name for it is "uncultured Bacteroidetes bacterium partial 16S ribosomal RNA". Lineage: Bacteria; Pseudomonadati; Bacteroidota. The record is from RNAcentral.
GACUACCAGGGUAUCUAAGCCUGUUCGCUCCCCACGCUUUCGUGCCUCAGCGUCAGUUAUGGCCCAGUAAGCUGCCUUCGCAAUCGGUGUUCUGUGUAAUAUCUAAGCAUUUCACCGCUACAUUACACAUUCCGCCUACCUUGACCAUACUCAAGACUAACAGUAUCAACGGCAAUUCUCCAGUUAAGCUGAAGGUUUUCACCGCUGACUUAUCAAUCCGCCUACGCACCCUUUAAACCCAAUAAAUCCGGAUAACGCUCGCAUCCUCCGUAUUACCGCGGCUGCUGGCACGGAGUUAGCCGAUGCUUAUUCCCAAGAUACCGGCAAGCCCCGACACGUCGGGGGUUUUCUUCUCCUGGAAAAGAAGUUUACGACGCAUAGCGCCUUCUUCCUUCACGCGGGAUGGCUGGUUCAGGCUUGCGCCCAUUGACCAAUAUUCCUCACUGCAGCCCCCCGUAGG